RNAcentral lists this ribosomal RNA (492 nucleotides) under uncultured bacterium. RNAcentral's name for it is "partial 16S ribosomal RNA". It matches the Rfam family "Bacterial small subunit ribosomal RNA", at positions 29 to 507 of the family's 1533-position model. The record is from RNAcentral.
AGUGAACGCUGGCGGUAGGCCUAACACAUGCAAGUCGAACGGCAGCACAGUAAUAGCUUGCUCUUACGGGUGGCGAGUGGCGGACGGGUGAGGAAUACAUCCGAAUCUACUUUUUCGUGGGGGCUAACGUAGGGAAACUUACGCUAAUACCGCAUACGACCUACGGGUGAAAUCAUGGGAUCUUCGGAUCUUGCGCGAUUGAAUGAGCCGAUGUCGGAUUAGCUAGUUGGCGGGGUAAAGGCCCACCAAGGCGACGAUCCGUAGCUGGUCUGAGAGGAUGAUCAGCCACACUGGAACUGAGACACGGUCCAGACUCCUACGGGAGGCAGCAGUGGGGAAUAUUGGACAAUGGGCGAAAGCCUGAUCCAGCCAUACCGCGUGGGUGAAGAAGGCCUUCGGGUUGUAAAGCCCUUUUGUUGGGAAAGAAAAGCAGCAGGUUAAUACCCCGCUGUUCUGACGGUACCCAAAGAAUAAGCACCGGCUAACUUCGUG